GACGAACGCUGGCGGCGUGCCUAAUACAUGCAAGUCGAACGCACGAAGUUGAAGAGCUUGCUCUUUAACCAAGUGAGUGGCGGACGGGUGAGUAACACGUGGGUAACCUGCCCAUUAGAGGGGGAUAACAUUCGGAAACGGAUGCUAAUACCGCAUAGUUUCAGGAAUCGCAUGAUUCUUGAAGGAAAGGUGGCUUCGGCUACCACUAAUGGAUGGACCCGCGGCGUAUUAGCUAGUUGGUGAGGUAAUGGCUCACCAAGGCAAUGAUACGUAGCCGACCUGAGAGGGUGAUCGGCCACACUGGGACUGAGACACGGCCCAGACUCCUACGGGAGGCAGCAGUAGGGAAUCUUCCGCAAUGGACGAAAGUCUGACGGAGCAACGCCGCGUGAGUGAAGAAGGUUUUCGGAUCGUAAAACUCUGUUGUUAAAGAAGAACAAGGAUGAGAGUAACUGCUCAUCCCCUGACGGUAUUUAACCAGAAAGCCACGGCUAACUACGUGCCAGCAGCCGCGGUAAUACGUAGGUGGCGAGCGUUAUCCGGAAUUAUUGGGCGUAAAGGGUGCGUAGGCGGCCUGUUAGGUAAGUGGUUAAAUUGUUGGGCUCAACCCAAUCCAGCCACUUAAACUGGCAGGCUAGAGUAUUGGAGAGGCAAGUGGAAUUCCAUGUGUAGCGGUAAAAUGCGUAGAUAUAUGGAGGAACACCAGUGGCGAAGGCGGCUUGCUAGCCAAAGACUGACGCUCAUGCACGAAAGCGUGGGGAGCAAAUAGG
Molecule: ribosomal RNA, 770 nt
Filed under: uncultured Carnobacterium sp.
Lineage: Bacteria; Bacillati; Bacillota; Bacilli; Lactobacillales; Carnobacteriaceae
Description: bacterial SSU rRNA
Rfam family: Bacterial small subunit ribosomal RNA
Source: RNAcentral